UACAGAGGGUGCAAGCGUUGUUCGGAAUUAUUGGGCGUAAAGCGCGUGUAGGCGGCUUUGCAAGUCGGGUGUGAAAGCCCUCAGCUCAACUGAGGAAGUGCGCCCGAAACUGCAGAGCUUGAGUGCCGGAGAGGGUGGCGGAAUUCCCCAAGUAGAGGUGAAAUUCGUAGAUAUGGGGAAGAACACCGGUGGCGAAGGCGGCGACCUGGUCUGAUACUGACGCUGAGGCGCGACAGCGUGGGGAGCAAACAGG
RNAcentral lists this ribosomal RNA (253 nucleotides) under uncultured bacterium. Its description in RNAcentral is "partial 16S ribosomal RNA". It matches the Rfam family "Bacterial small subunit ribosomal RNA", at positions 524 to 776 of the family's 1533-position model. The record is from RNAcentral.